CUUCAACUUGCUCGAGGAUACCGCACCUCAAGACUUCAACCUUGCUUGUGGAUACCGCACCAUAAGACUUCACACACUAAGUCUUAGGGUACUUAGCGAACCCAGCAAUCAAUGAGAAGAUAUGUUCUUCUCAAACACCUUUCUCAUUUACAACAAGAACUCUCUCAAAAGAGUAGAUAAAGAGAUACAAAUUUAGCUCUAUGAACAACUCAAAGUUGUCUCUCAAAUGGCUCAACAAAAGCU
Molecule: long non-coding RNA, 243 nt
Filed under: Nicotiana benthamiana
Lineage: Eukaryota; Viridiplantae; Streptophyta; Magnoliopsida; Solanales; Solanaceae
Description: long non-coding RNA (NBEN_LNC028600)
Source: RNAcentral